This is a non-coding RNA of Coregonus clupeaformis (lake whitefish), 74 nucleotides long. Lineage: Eukaryota; Metazoa; Chordata; Actinopteri; Salmoniformes; Salmonidae. The record is from the annotation of a RefSeq genome assembly.
UCCUGUCUGGCUCAGUUGAUUAGAGUGUGGCACUAGCAAUGCCAAGGUCAUGGGUUCAAGUCCCAGGGGGGGAA